GACGAACGCUGGCGGCGUGCCUAAUACAUGCAAGUCGAGCGAAGUUUUUCUGGUGCUUGCACCGGAAAAACUUAGCGGCGAACGGGUGAGUAGCACGUAAAGAACCUGCCUUAUAGACUGGGACAACUAUUGGAAACGAUAGCUAAUACCGGAUAACAGCAUUAACUGCAUGGUUGAUGUUUGAAAGUUGGUUUUGCUAACACUAUGAGAUGGCUUUGCGGUGCAUUAGCUAGUUGGUGGGGUAAAGGCCUACCAAGGCGACGAUGCAUAGCCGACCUGAGAGGGUGAUCGGCCACACUGGGACUGAGACACGGCCCAGACUCCUACGGGAGGCAGCAGUAGGGAAUCUUCCGCAAUGGGCGAAAGCCUGACGGAGCAACGCCGCGUGAGUGAAGAAGGAUUUCGGUUCGUAAAGCUCUGUUGUUAGGGAAGAAUGAUUGUGUAGUAACUAUACACAGUAGAGACGGUACCUAACCAGAAAGCCACGGCUAACUACGUG
RNAcentral lists this ribosomal RNA (499 nucleotides) under uncultured bacterium. RNAcentral describes it as "partial 16S ribosomal RNA". It matches the Rfam family "Bacterial small subunit ribosomal RNA", at positions 28 to 507 of the family's 1533-position model. The record is from RNAcentral.